This 492-nucleotide ribosomal RNA is filed under the name uncultured bacterium. RNAcentral's name for it is "partial 16S ribosomal RNA". It matches the Rfam family "Bacterial small subunit ribosomal RNA", at positions 29 to 507 of the family's 1533-position model. The record is from RNAcentral.
AGUGAACGCUGGCGGUAGGCCUAACACAUGCAAGUCGAACGGCAGCACAGUAAGAGCUUGCUCUUACGGGUGGCGAGUGGCGGACGGGUGAGGAAUACAUCGGAAUCUACUUUUUCGUGGGGGAUAACGUAGGGAAACUUACGCUAAUACCGCAUACGACCUACGGGUGAAAGCAGGGGAUCUUCGGACCUUGCGCGAUUGAAUGAGCCGAUGUCGGAUUAGCUAGUUGGCGGGGUAAAGGCCCACCAAGGCGACGAUCCGUAGCUGGUCUGAGAGGAUGAUCAGCCACACUGGAACUGAGACACGGUCCAGACGCCUAAGGGAGGCAGCAGUGGGGAAUAUUGGACAAUGGGCGCAAGCCUGAUCCAGCCAUACCGCGUGGGUGAAGAAGGCCUUCGGGUUGUAAAGCCCUUUUGUUGGGAAAGAAAAGCGGCAGGUUAAUACCCCGCUGUUCUGACGGUACCCAAAGAAUAAGCACCGGCUAACUUCGUG